GGGCGCGUAGCUCAGCUGGUUAGAGCGCCACCAUGACACGGUGGAGGUCCCGGGUUCGAGUCCCGUCGCGCCCACCA
RNAcentral lists this transfer RNA (77 nucleotides) under Actinomycetota bacterium. Its description in RNAcentral is "Actinobacteria bacterium (freshwater metagenome) tRNA-Val". It matches the Rfam family "tRNA". From Rfam's summary of the family: Transfer RNA (tRNA) molecules are approximately 80 nucleotides in length. Lineage: Bacteria; Bacillati; Actinomycetota. The record is from RNAcentral.